AUAAUAAUUAGCUCACAGGCAGAGUUUCCAGGCGCUUCCAGGAGCAUCAAUCACCGGGAUGAAUGGGAAGCCCGUGUGUGGGAACUGCAGGGGGAGCUGGGUGCAGAGCCACCUCAGCCCUGUCACCCUGCGCGUGUCUCUGCCAUGCUUCCUUGGAUCCCUAUCUACCCCGUUUUGGGUGACAGGACGAGUUGGGCCAGUUACCAGGAUCUUGUCGCCUGGUUCUGAUGGUGUCUUGGUUCCCGGCUGGGGUUUUGUGUUUACCACGAGCGUUGCCUGCUGUCGGGGAGCUGCGUGUGUUUCACAACAAACAGGGAGCCAGGGAGACCACCCUGCGGGGCUGCCCCUUCCCUCAGCGCUUUCUGCUUGGGUCGCUGGCGUCUUGCAGUGCCUUCGUUCGUCUGUGGUGUGAGGUGCUGGUCCAGGCUUACGCGCUAACAGUGAAUUAGAAGGAGAAAACGCUCUGCGAGUGCAGCGGAAGGUCAAUAUGGAGCCUGGUUUGCUUUUAGAAUCUUCCCAAGGCCGAUGGGCUUCCUCUUCCCUCCUGACCAGAGGCUUUGAUGCCCCUGCCCUGGGCUGCCUGGUUCCUGCCCCGAGUCUUCAGAAAGAUCCCCGGGCCUGGAGACUGUGAGUUCAGGUUCAGAUGCCUUGCGUGGCCUGUGAAUCCUGGGUCUGGUCUCUGUCCCCAGGCCGGUGUUCAGGGACCACCUUGAGCACCAAAGGCAGCCCAGUCCGGCUUUGACUCAGCUCCCAGGGCGGAGUCCCUUGCCCAGCACUGGGCAGGAGGAGGGCAUCCUCAGGGCAAGGUCUGCCAUCAGCAGACCAGAGCCAGAGCCCGCAGCCCCUGAGCACUUUCAGAUUCCUGCAGCGCAGAGAGGUUUUCCGGGAGGGAAGGGAGGACCCUGUGGCUGGAGAAAUCCCGCCGCGAACACCCAGCGACCAGGUCUACAGCAGCACCAGGUCUGUGCUUCCCCCUGGUGGUCACAGAUUUUACUACACGCGGCCCACAAGUAAAAUGAGUUUCUCUUCAGUGGCCCGGUUAUCUUCUGUCGUGUAGGAGGAAGUCCAGAGCCACGGAAAUUCGCCUGAGUCGAAGCUGUUAAAGAGGCCAAGAAUUCCCAAGCUUUCCCAGGCAAACGGGGAAGAACACUGGGAUGCCUUUUCCUCCUCCUCUGUCCAUCUGCAGGCCAAGUGUGCAUCAGUCACAGGCAAACUCUGAAUUGAGCUUUGUGCAAGUCUCUGGAAAGAGACCCAAGAUCGUGUGAUGAGCAAAAGUGACAGUGCUGGAGGCAGCGACAUCUGCAGAGCCAGCCCCAUCCCUAUCUGCAGCAGAAUAUGUAUGGGGAUCCUUUAUGUGAACAAUCCACCCAGGGUAGAAUGGGGCUUUUGACAUCAGCUGAGACCCAGGCGGCCUUACAAUGAGAGGGCUGUUGGUCAAAGGAAGGACUGUUUAAUGAACUGAGAAUCUGAGGCCAGCUCUGGCCAUCUGCACUUGGAAUCAUUAGAGCAACUCUACUGUAACUGGCAACCUUGAAUAAUGCAGCAAAUUCAUAUUCCAAAAUUGUGAACUUUAAAAUUUUGUGUUUGUGUCUAUGAUGAAAAGCAUUAUAUAAACAUUUGAUACUACAAUUUUAUUAGUAAGGAAGGCUGAAAAAGUAUCUCUCUUUUGACUCUGAGGUCAAUAAUGAUAAUGGCUUUUCCCCUACACUGGGAUAGAAAUGUUCUGUCAAGGAUAUGAAAACACUUUAUGAAAAUGAAAUUCAUUAAAGCCCUUAAUAAUCAGGUAGGGAAGGCAGGUGCUCACAAUUGUCACCUGUUGGUGAGUGAACACCUUAGGCUCGGGGAGGACAAUGACUCAAGAACAAGGUCGAAUUGCAGGUGGGGGGUGAAGCUGAUCCCUAACAGUGUCCUCCAGCCCCUGGCACUGAGGAAGGACAUGGAGGGCUUGCAUCGACUUUUCCUGGCAGGCUUGUGAUUCCCAGCCAGAAUGCAGGUGGCAAUGUUGUGAUUCCUGGCGUAACCUUCAAUGCUUCAAUGAUAAUCUCUGCUGGUGCCAGGCACCAGCUGAGUGUCACUGUGCAGCUCCCAGGCUUAAGUGAUGCAUGCCGAGGUUUUCAGAGCAGUCUCUCAUUUAUUAGUUGUGUUGGAAAGAAAUCUGUACUACCUAACUGGGUACCUCUGGAUUUUAACAGCUGUGGUUUAUAAGAGAUAUGAGAGGGGGUUUGUUUUCAAAGUGCCUUUCACAAAGUAACACCUUAGACUGUAGUUUACAUUCCAUUCCAGUAGGAUAACUUGCAACACUUCUGUGCUCAGAAAUCCAACUGUGCAAGAAAAGUCAGGUUAUAUUUUCAUACAGCCCGUUCUGGCAAAUAUGCCUUCACACCACUUUCCCUCCUCCUCACCGCUAUUGGCAAUAGUCCCAAUGGAAGAGUUUUAUGUCAAAUGCUGAGUAUCUUGGAAGCUGUCCUGCACAGACACGACUGCUUGGCUGCGUGUUGGAGAGUCGCGGUUGGACUGGGAGACCAGGAAGGUCCCUUCUGGUCUGAGAUGUGAUGACUCUAGAACUAAUUAGUUUCAACUCAUAACACGAAAUGAUACUAGCUACCAUUUGGUGGGCUUUUUCUGUGUUCCAGGCUCUGUGCUAAGAUCUUAGCAUUACUCUAAUUACAAAAUCCCUGCCAAUAUUAUCCUCAGUUUACGCAAGAACAAAUGGGUUUAGGGAAAUCAAAAACUUGUCCAAUGACACAGAUUUAAGAUUUAGCAACUGAUGGCCACGUGGAAAUGGAUUACAGAUUAUUCUAAUUGGACACUCUAAACGUGCAAUUUAACCAGAAUGAAAUUUAGGGCUGCGUGCUGUGGCUCAUGCCUGUAAUCCUAGCACUUUGGGAAGCCAGGUGUAUCCCUUAAGCCCAGGAGUUUGAGAGCAACUUGGGCAACAUGGUGAAACCUGUAUCUACAAAAAAUACAAAAAUUAGCCAGGUGAGGUGGUGUAUGCCUGUAGUUCCAGCUACUUGGGAGGCUGAGAGAUGGGAGGAUUGGUUGAGCCUAGGAGGUCGAGGCUGCUGUGAGCUGUGAUGGUUCCACUGCACUCCAGCCUGGGCGACAGAGACAGACUCCAUCUCAAAAAAAAAAAAAAAAAAAGUAGCUACCUUGUGGUUGCACUCGUCUGAGACUAGCUCAUGGCUCCAGCUCUCAGGGUGGUGAGUAAUGAUUCUGUGGUCAGACGCAGUUUUGAAGUCAGGCAAGAAAACCUUCAACAAGAGUUAGAGAUGUCCUGUCUAUGAAUUUCUCCUCUAGGCUUAGGGAUAGCCCUGGGAUUCAUGUCAUGCCAGUUAGGGAUCCACUCAUUGUAAGCAAUACAAGUGCCCCCGAAGAGACAGUGCAUUAAUUGUCACCCCUUAGGAGCAUUGUGUGAAUUAGUGUGAUUUAGCACAUGCCCAGAGGGAUGAAACUCUAGCUCCAUAGGGUAGGUCCUGAUUACUCCUGGAGCAGGCAGCCAGCUCAGCUCAUGGGGAGCUCUGAGAAGUCUCUCAAUGCCUCGCAUGCAGCCCCUGCUCAGGAGUCAUGUGUCACUUCACAGUCUUGCUUUCCAGUGGGUCAAAGCAUGAUGUUUAUGAGAAACAAAUACACAAAAUUCUGACUUGUGUGAAUACAGAACACGUGCAAUAAAACGACUGCAAUCUAUUUUUAAAAUGUGGUCUGAGAAGUCAGGUUUAAUAUGACUAUGUAAUAUAUAAACAAUAUAUUUUCCACAGAAAGGAAAAUAUAAAUAAUAAAAUAUGUCUAUUUCUUUUUUUUGGUGGAAAAUUACUCCCACAAUUUGGUCCCAAGGGGGUCUUAAUUUGUCAUCAGGUCUGUGGCUAAAUGUCUUAUAAAGGAAUGCUUCUUUCUUUCGAGAAGUGUACAGGAACAGUCUGCACUGACUGCUUUUACCUGUAAAUGUUUUGAGAAUUCAGAAGUCACUUUCCUUCCACAAUAGGUGCUAGGCAUUUUAUUUAAAUAAAGCAAAAACAUUUCUGUCAUAAAGAAGGUGUUAAUAACCUCAAAGCUAUGCGAAAUAUACUAGUACAAUCUAAUACUCAUGGUGAAAAAUACAGUAAUUAAGAGCAAUUCAAGUUUUUUUGUUUUGGUUUAACUUCAGAAUUAAAAUAAACUCAGAAUUAAAAAAAUAAAAAAUGGUUUUAUUACAUGUCAGAGUAUUGAGAUACAAAAUAUAUACCAGAU
RNAcentral lists this long non-coding RNA (4224 nucleotides) under Homo sapiens (human). RNAcentral's name for it is "HSALNT0137541". The record is from RNAcentral. Lineage: Eukaryota; Metazoa; Chordata; Mammalia; Primates; Hominidae.